GUGUUGUGGUGGAAAGAUUUAUCGGUGCAGGAUGGGCCCGCGGCCUAUCAGCUUGUUGGUGGGGUAAUGGCCUACCAAGGCGACGACGGGUAGCCGACCUGAGAGGGUGACCGGCCACACUGGGACUGAGACACGGCCCAGACUCCUACGGGAGGCAGCAGUGGGGAAUAUUGCACAAUGGGCGGAAGCCUGAUGCAGCGACGCCGCGUGAGGGAUGAAGGCCUUCGGGUUGUAAACCUCUUUCAGCAGGGACGAAGCGUGAGUGACGGUACCUGCAGAAGAAGCACCGGCUAACUACGUGCCAGCAGCCGCGGUAAUACGUAGGGUGCGAGCGUUGUCCGGAAUUACUGGGCGUAAAGAGUUCGUAGGCGGUUUGUCGCGUCGUUUGUGAAAACCCGGGGCUCAACUUCGGGCUUGCAGGCGAUACGGGCAGACUUGAGUGUUUCAGGGGAGACUGGAAUUCCUGGUGUAGCGGUGAAAUGCGCAGAUAUCAGGAGGAACACCGGUGGCGAAGGCGGGUCUCUGGGAAACAACUGACGCUGAGGAACGAAAGCGUGGGUAGCAAACAGGAUUAGAUACCCUGGUAGUCCACGCCGUAAACGGUGGGCGCUAGGUGUGGGUUCCUUCCACGGGAUCUGUGCCGUAGCUAACGCAUUAAGCGCCCCGCCUGGGGAGUACGGCCGCAAGGCUAAAACUCAAAGGAUUUGACGGGGGCCCGCACAAGCGGCGGAGCAUGUGUAUUAAUUCGAUGCAACGCGAAGAACCUUACCUGGGUUUGACAUACACCGGAAAACCGUAGAGAUACGGUCCCCCUUGUGGUCGGUGUACAGGUGGUGCAUGGCUGCCGUCAGCUCGUGUCGUGAGAUGUUGGGUUAAGUCCCGCAACGAGCGCA
RNAcentral lists this ribosomal RNA (893 nucleotides) under Rhodococcus sp. G77. Its description in RNAcentral is "bacterial SSU rRNA". It matches the Rfam family "Bacterial small subunit ribosomal RNA", at positions 191 to 1100 of the family's 1533-position model. The record is from RNAcentral. Lineage: Bacteria; Bacillati; Actinomycetota; Actinomycetes; Mycobacteriales; Nocardiaceae.